This 475-nucleotide ribosomal RNA is filed under the name uncultured bacterium. RNAcentral's name for it is "bacterial SSU rRNA". It matches the Rfam family "Bacterial small subunit ribosomal RNA", at positions 33 to 507 of the family's 1533-position model. The record is from RNAcentral.
GAGACGCUGGCGGCGUGCCUAACACAUGCAAGUCGAACGGAGGUACUUUGAAGCUUGCGAUAAAGUAUCUUAGUGGCGGACGGGUGAGUAACGCGUGGGUAAUCUGCCCAUAAGUGGGGAACAACAGUUGGAAACGACUGCUAAUACCCGCAUAAUCUGCCUUAGGGUAGGAAAGGUGGCCUCUUAACAAUGCUGCCGCUUAUGGAUGAGCCCGCGUCUGAUUAGCUAGUUGGUGGGGUAAAGGCCUACCAAGGCGACGAUCAGUAGCCGGCCUGAGAGGGUGAACGGCCACACUGGGACUGAGACACGGCCCAGACUCCUACGGGGGGCAGCAGUGGGGGAUCUUGCACAAUGGGCGAAAGCCUGAUGCAGCGACGCCGCGUGAGGGAUGAAGGCCUUCGGGUUGUAAACCUCUUUCAGUAGGGAAGAAGCGCAAGUGACGGUACCUACAGAAGAAGCACCGGCUAACUACGUG